Oncorhynchus masou masou (cherry salmon) is the source of this 1120-nucleotide long non-coding RNA. RefSeq lists it as uncharacterized. The transcript has 3 exons. The record is from RefSeq and is a predicted model, not a curated record. NCBI's taxonomy places the organism in Eukaryota, Metazoa, Chordata, Actinopteri, Salmoniformes, Salmonidae.
CAAGGAUACAAGUUUCGCAUUCAUCUUGAUUCAACCUGAACUCUGUGGAUUCAACACGGUGAAGAACAACGACAACAACUUUGAGCUUGGCUUUUCCUUGAAAGAGCCCCGUCCCCCCCAGUCCACCAUCCUUCACGGCCAACCCAGCUCAACCACAGUCUUCCCAGCCCAUCCCCUAUUACUUUAUCCUUCUUCCGCCCCCUCCUGCCUCCCUUUCAGGGGGAUGUGCGGGGCCUGUUCCAGAUGUGAGCUGGUCUACGUGAGUCUGCAGUGUUAAUAAACCGUGGCACCUCUGACAGAGGCCUAGGAGUGCCAAGCUCUAUGAAUUGUGGCCCAGGACACCUCCCCAUUGCAGUAAAUAGAAGUUAUCCAUGAAAAGACUUAACUCUCAUACCUCCUGCACACAGACACUUUAUGAAUGGAACUUGUACCGAAGCCAAAUCAAGCUCAUUGACCUCUUUGGCACAGGAGAGAAAUAAAGGGAGAAAUAAAGUAAAUAGCAGCCUGUGUGUCAGCUAAUAACUUCCCUCCCAGCUUGAUCGAUGUGUACUUCACUCAAAACAAGAUGGCCCAUUUUAAAAUGAGCUCCACAUACACACACCUCAAAAUUCAGCCAUAAGAAAAUAAUGUCCUCAAAUAAAAUGUGAGCUAAAACAUUAAACCAUCACCCAAAUAGACAUGUGGUUAAAUCUUAGUUGAGAACCACAUGAAACAAACAGAUGUGUAUAAUUAUAGUGGGAUAACAAUACAGAACAUGUUGAAAAGCUGAACUGUUCUUGAGAAAUAAUUUGAGUGUUCACUGGAUGUUUGCUUGUCUGUAUGAUGUACAACCCUGGCAAGAGGCUUCCGAGACAGAUACACUGGCUUGCUCUAUGGCUCAGGCUAGAAAGGAGUAAGUGCGCCAUACAGUGGCAAGCCCAUAAAAAGUCCCAAAUUCAAAUGUAAAGUAAUGUGAUUGAGGAGCAAAAACAUUUGGGUGAAAGGAACACUGAGUAAAUAGAAUAAUUAAGAAUAAAAAUACAGGAAAUCUGACUUUUGUUCAAACAUUUUACCUAGAUAUGUUCUCUAGCACUACAUAGUUUAUAUUGAUAAUAAAUCUCAAUUUACAACACUUUGUGUU